UGAGAUGGAACUGCUUGGUCUGGAUAGUCCUCGUCGUCAACAGCAGCAGCAACAACAACAACAAUUGAUUGAAGAGAUUGCUAGAAUCUCUUCCCCAUCUUUCAGGAACAGCGAAUUCAACAGGAUUGCUGAUUUGAAUCCUACUAACCUUGAUGACCUAUUAGCAUCAGCCGAUCCCAAUUUACUAUCUCAAUUACAUGGACUUUCCAUGCAACCUUCGACACCCACACAACAGAUGCAUUCUCCAAGUGCAAUGCAGAUGCGCCAAAACAUGAACAUGGGCCAAAACAUGAACCACCUUCGUGCAAGUUAUCCAUCAAACAAUAUGCCUUCCUCUCCAGUGAGGAAGCCCUCACCAUAUGGAUUUGAUUCAUCGGCUGCCGUAGCAGCUGCGGUGAUGAAUUCCAGGUCUGCUGCCUUCGCAAAGCAGCGCAGCCAAAGUUU
Molecule: long non-coding RNA, 444 nt
Filed under: Medicago truncatula (barrel medic)
Lineage: Eukaryota; Viridiplantae; Streptophyta; Magnoliopsida; Fabales; Fabaceae
Description: long non-coding RNA (MTRU_LNC003577)
Source: RNAcentral